CCUACGGGAGACAGCAGUGAGGAAUAUUGGUCAAUGGACGAGAGUCUGAACCAGCCAAGUAGCGUGAAGGAUGACUGCCCUAUGGUUUGUAAACUUCUUUUAUAUGGGAAUAAAACAGGGUAUGCAUACCCUCUUGUAUGUACCAUAUCAUUCAAGAUCGUCUAACUCCGUUCCAGCAGCCGCGGUAAUACGGAGGGUCCGAGCGGUAUCCGGAUUUAUUGGGUUUAAAGGGAGCGUAGGUGGAUUGUUAAGUCAGUUGUGAAAGUUUGCGGAUCAACCGUAAAAUUGCAGUUGAAACUGGCAGUCUAGAGUACAGUAGAGGUGGGCGGAAGUCGUGGUGUAGCGGUGAAAUGCGUAGAUAUCAGGAAGAACUCCGAUUGCGAAGGCAGCUGACUGGACUGCAACUGACACUGAUGCUCGAAAGUGUGGGUAUCAAACAGGAUUAGAUACCCGGGUAGUC
This 460-nucleotide ribosomal RNA is filed under the name uncultured bacterium. Its description in RNAcentral is "partial 16S ribosomal RNA". It matches the Rfam family "Bacterial small subunit ribosomal RNA", at positions 338 to 795 of the family's 1533-position model. The record is from RNAcentral.